Molecule: ribosomal RNA, 386 nt
Filed under: uncultured bacterium
Lineage: Bacteria
Description: bacterial SSU rRNA
Rfam family: Bacterial small subunit ribosomal RNA
Source: RNAcentral
GAUGAACGCUAGCUACAGGCUUAACACAUGCAAGUCGCGGGGCAGCAUUUCUUUAGCUUGCUAAGGAAGAUGGCGACCGGCGCACGGGUGAGUAACGCGUAUCCAACCUUCCCAUGUCCACGGGAUAGCCCGUCGAAAGGCGGAUUAAUACCGUAUGAGGUCACAUGCGGGCAUCUAAGUGUGACGAAAAGGUUUAGCGGACAUGGAUGGGGAUGCGUCCGAUUAGCUUGUUGGCGGGGUAACGGCCCACCAAAGGCGACGAUCAGUAGGGGUUCUGAGAGGAAGGUCCCCCACAUUGGAAACUGAGACACGGGUCCAAAACUCCUACGGGAGGCAGCAGUGAGGAAUAUUGGUCAAUGGACGGGAGUCUGAACCAGCCAGGUAGC